Molecule: long non-coding RNA, 1003 nt
Organism: Carassius carassius (crucian carp)
Lineage: Eukaryota; Metazoa; Chordata; Actinopteri; Cypriniformes; Cyprinidae
Exons: 3
Source: RefSeq, a predicted model, not a curated record
CGCAAACAUCCCUGCUGAAAAAAACAAUAGAAACCAUUACAGAAUUUGUAAUGGUUUUAAUGGUUCUAAUUGGAAUUCUAAUGGUUUUAAUGGACACUGUAAUGGUCUCUGUGGGUCUCUAUUGGUAAUUUGCUUUCUUCUAUUGGUGGCAUGUAUUGUCUAUUGGAUACCAUUAAGGACCAAUAGAACACCUUUAGAAACUUCUGGUGGUAUCUACUGGACACCAGUAGAAACCAUUAUGACUCCAAUAAAUUUAGUGGUUUCUUUGGAAAACUGUAAUAGUCUUAGUGGGUAGGCUACUGCUGAAAAAAAAAAUAAAAAAAAAAAUAAAAAAAUGAACACAAACAAUAGAAACCAUUACAAAAUUUGUAAUGGUUUUAAUGGUUAUAAUGGGAAUUCUGUUGGUUUUAAUGGUCACAGUAAUGGUCCCUGUGGGUCUCUAUUGGUAAAUUGCUUUCUUCUAUUGGUGGAAUGUAUUGUCUUGGAUUGCCACCAUACGUCAUUUGGAAAGGUUAUUUUUUAUUUAUUAAUUUUUUUAAAUAUUUUUUUUUUUGUCUAAAUCAACUCAACUCGUCAUGGCCUUCAAAAUUGACGUUGAAAGUUGGUCUUUGCUUGGUUCGUCGGAUUUGGUCCAAAUUUAGCAUAAAAAUUGAUGUUAAAUAACAGUGAAAUUCUGCGUGACUUCCACGUGCUGUAAUGUGCGCGUGCGCAGAACUGGAGCGGAGGACGUCACCAUGGAAACGAGGCGGCAGCCCAACCGUCAAGCAGCUGAACGCUGACUCUCAAUGUGGUUUCACUAUUUUUUUCAGAAAUGGUUUAGUGUCGUCAGAAAAAGUCCGUUAGCAUCUCAACCAAGUGCCAGUAAAAAACCUCUAUGACAGAGGAGAAGUUCCUGAUUUUAACAUUUCUGAAGGGAGCUGCUGACAGAGAGGAUGAAAACACACACAUUUUGAUGUCCACGCUGUAGGAGCAUUACUAAAUAAGUAAAACUAAAAUGUUUUAU